CGGACGGGUGAGUAACACGUGGAUAAUCUACCUAUAAGACUGGGAUAACUUCGGGAAACCGGAGCUAAUACCGGAUAAUAUAUUGAACCGCAUGGUUCAAUAGUGAAAGACGGUUUUGCUGUCACUUAUAGAUGGAUCCGCGCCGCAUUAGCUAGUUGGUAAGGUAACGGCUUACCAAGGCAACGAUGCGUAGCCGACCUGAGAGGGUGAUCGGCCACACUGGAACUGAGACACGGUCCAG
This 241-nucleotide ribosomal RNA is filed under the name uncultured Staphylococcus sp. RNAcentral's name for it is "partial 16S ribosomal RNA". It matches the Rfam family "Bacterial small subunit ribosomal RNA", at positions 99 to 334 of the family's 1533-position model. Lineage: Bacteria; Bacillati; Bacillota; Bacilli; Caryophanales; Staphylococcaceae. The record is from RNAcentral.